GGCGUGCCUAAUACAUGCCAGUCGAUUCGGACAGAAGGGAGCUUGCUCCCGGUAUGUUAGCGGCGGACGGGUGAGUAACACGUGGGUAACCUGCCUGUAAGACUGGGAUAACUCCGGGAAACCGGAGCUAAUACCGGAUAGUUCCUGAACCGCAUGGUUCAAGGAUGAAAGACGGUUUCGGCUGUCACUUACAGAUGGACCCGCGGCGCAUUAGCUAGUUGGUGGGGUAAUGGCUCACCAAGGCGACGAUGCGUAGCCGACCUGAGAGGGUGAUCGGCCACACUGGGACUGAGACACGGCCCAGACUCCUACGGGAGGCAGCAGUAGGGAAUCUUCCGCAAUGGACGAAAGUCUGACGGAGCAACGCCGCGUGAGUGAUGAAGGUUUUCGGAUCGUAAAGCUCUGUUGUUAGGGAAGAACAAGUGCGAGAGUAACUGCUCGCACCUUGACGGUACCUAACCAGAAAGCCACGGCUAACUACGUGCCACCAGCCGCGGUAAUACGUAGGUGGCAAGCGUUGUCCGGAAUUAUUGGGCGUAAAGGGCUCGCAGGCGGUUUCUUAAGUCUGAUGUGAAAGCCCCCGGCUCAACCGGGGAGGGUCAUUGGAAACUGGGAAACUUGAGUGCAGAAGAGGAGAGUGGAAUUCCACGUGUAGCGGUGAAAUGCGUAGAGAUGUGGAGGAACACCAGUGGCGAAGGCGACUCUCUGGUCUGUAACUGACGCUGAGGAGCGAAAGCGUGGGGAGCGAACAGGAUUAGAUACCCUGGUAGUCCACGCCGUAAACGAUGAGUGCUAAGUGUUAGGGGGUUUCCGCCCCUUAGUGCUGCAGCUAACGCAUUAAGCACUCCGCCUGGGGAGUACGGUCGCAAGACUGAAACUCAAAGGAAUUGACGGGGGCCCGCACAAGCGGUGGAGCAUGUGGUUUAAUUCGAAGCAACGCGAAGAACCUUACCAGGUCUUGACAUCCUCUGACAACCCUAGAGAUAGGGCUUUCCCUUCGGGGACAGAGUGACAGGUGGUGCAUGGUUGUCGUCAGCUCGUGUCGUGAGAUGUUGGGUUAAGUCCCGCAACGAGCGCAACCCUUGAUCUUAGUUGCCAGCAUUUAGUUGGGCACUCUAAGGUGACUGCCGGUGACAAACCGGAGGAAGGUGGGGAUGACGUCAAAUCAUCAUGCCCCUUAUGACCUGGGCUACACACGUGCUACAAUGGACAGAACAAAGGGCUGCAAGACCGCAAGGUUUAGCCAAUCCCAUAAAUCUGUUCUCAGUUCGGAUCGCAGUCUGCAACUCGACUGCGUGAAGCUGGAAUCGCUAGUAAUCGCGGAUCAGCAUGCCGCGGUGAAUACGUUCCCGGGCCUUGUACACACCGCCCGUCACACCACGAGAGUUUGCAACACCCGAAGUCGGUGAGGUAACCUUUAUGGAGCCAGCCGCCGAAGGUGGGGCAGAUGAUUGGGGUGAAGUCGUAACAAGGUAGCCGUAUCGGAAGG
Molecule: ribosomal RNA, 1489 nt
Filed under: Bacillus pumilus
Lineage: Bacteria; Bacillati; Bacillota; Bacilli; Caryophanales; Bacillaceae
Description: 16S ribosomal RNA
Rfam family: Bacterial small subunit ribosomal RNA
Source: RNAcentral